RNAcentral lists this transfer RNA (90 nucleotides) under Flavobacteriales bacterium. RNAcentral describes it as "tRNA-Ser". It matches the Rfam family "tRNA". Rfam says of the family: Transfer RNA (tRNA) molecules are approximately 80 nucleotides in length. Lineage: Bacteria; Pseudomonadati; Bacteroidota; Flavobacteriia; Flavobacteriales. The record is from RNAcentral.
GGAGAGGUGACCGAGUGGCUGAAGGUGCACGCCUGGAAAGCGUGUUUACAAGAAAUUGUAACAAGGGUUCGAAUCCCUUUCUCUCCGCCA